AUACGUAGGGUGCGAGCGUUGUCCGGAAUUACUGGGCGUAAAGAGCUCGUAGGUGGUUUGUCGCGUCGUCUGUGAAAUUCCGGGGCUUAACUCCGGGCGUGCAGGCGAUACGGGCAUAACUUGAGUACUGUAGGGGUGACUGCAAUUCCUGGCGUAGCGGUGAACUGCGCAGAUACCAGGAGGAACACCGGUGGCGAAGGCGGGUCUCUGGGCAGUAACUGACGCUGAGGAGCGAAAGCAUGGGUAGCGAACAGGAUUAGAUACCCUGGUAGUCCAUGCCGUAAACGGUGGGCGCUAGGUGUAGGGGUCUUCCACGACUUCUGUGCCGUAGCUAACGCAUUAAGCGCCCCGCCUGGGGAGUACGGCCGCAAGGCUAAAACUCAAAGGAAUUGACGGGG
RNAcentral lists this ribosomal RNA (398 nucleotides) under uncultured bacterium. Its description in RNAcentral is "partial 16S ribosomal RNA". It matches the Rfam family "Bacterial small subunit ribosomal RNA", at positions 523 to 918 of the family's 1533-position model. The record is from RNAcentral.